RNAcentral lists this ribosomal RNA (428 nucleotides) under uncultured bacterium. RNAcentral describes it as "bacterial SSU rRNA". It matches the Rfam family "Bacterial small subunit ribosomal RNA", at positions 355 to 775 of the family's 1533-position model. The record is from RNAcentral.
UGGGGAAUUUUGGACAAUGGGCGCAAGCCUGAUCCAGCCAUUCCGCGUGCAGGACGAAGGCCUUCGGGUUGUAAACUGCUUUUGUACGGAACGAAAAGGCUCUGGCUAAUACCUGGGGCUCAUGACGGUACCGUAAGAAUAAGCACCGGCUAACUACGUGCCAGCAGCCGCGGUAAUACGUAGGGUGCAAGCGUUAAUCGGAAUUACUGGGCGUAAAGCGUGCGCAGGCGGUUAUGUAAGACAGAGGUGAAAUCCCCGGGCUCAACCUGGGAACUGCCUUUGUGACUGCAUAGCUGGAGUACGGCAGAGGGGGAUGGAAUUCCGCGUGUAGCAGUGAAAUGCGUAGAUAUGCGGAGGAACACCGAUGGCGAAGGCAAUCCCCUGGGCCUGUACUGACGCUCAUGCACGAAAGCGUGGGGAGCAAACAG